This 370-nucleotide ribosomal RNA is filed under the name uncultured bacterium. RNAcentral describes it as "bacterial SSU rRNA". It matches the Rfam family "Bacterial small subunit ribosomal RNA", at positions 527 to 896 of the family's 1533-position model. The record is from RNAcentral.
GAAGGGGGCUAGCGUUGUUCGGAAUUACUGGGCGUAAAGGGCGCGUAGGCGGUGUGUCAAGUCAGGCGUGAAAGCCCCGGGCUCAACCUGGGAACCGCGCUUGAGACUGGCACGCUCGAGUUCGGGAGAGGAUGGUGGAAUUCCCAGUGUAGAGGUGAAAUUCGUAGAUAUUGGGAAGAACACCGAUGGCGAAGGCAGCCAUCUGGACCGACACUGACGCUGAGGCGCGAAAGCGUGGGGAGCAAACGGGAUUAGAUACCCUGGUAGUCCACGCCGUAAACGAUGAGUGCUAGACGUCGGGGCCCUCAGGGCUUCGGUGUCGCAGCUAACGCAUUAAGCACUCCGCCUGGGGAGUACGGCCGCAAGGUUA